RNAcentral lists this ribosomal RNA (698 nucleotides) under uncultured Bacteroidales bacterium. RNAcentral describes it as "bacterial SSU rRNA". It matches the Rfam family "Bacterial small subunit ribosomal RNA", at positions 28 to 716 of the family's 1533-position model. Lineage: Bacteria; Pseudomonadati; Bacteroidota; Bacteroidia; Bacteroidales. The record is from RNAcentral.
GAUGAACGCUAGCUACAGGCUUAACACAUGCAAGUCGAGGGGCAUCAGGAAGAAAGCUUGCUUUCUUUGCUGGCGACCGGCGCACGGGUGAGUAACACGUAUCCAACCUGCCCCUUACUCGGGGAUAGCCUUUCGAAAGAAAGAUUAAUACCCGAUAGCAUAAUGAUUCCGCAUGGUUUCAUUAUUAAAGGAUUCCGGUAAAGGAUGGGGAUGCGUUCCAUUAGGUUGUUGGUGAGGUAACGGCCCACCAAGCCUUCGAUGGAUAGGGGUUCUGAGAGGAAGGUCCCCCACAUUGGAACUGAGACACGGUCCAAACUCCUACGGGAGGCAGCAGUGAGGAAUAUUGGUCAAUGGGCGUUAGCCUGAACCAGCCAAGUAGCGUGAAGGAUGAAGGCUCUAUGGGUCGUAAACUUCUUUUAUAUAAGAAUAAAGUGCAGUAUGUAUACUGUUUUGUAUGUAUUAUAUGAAUAAGGAUCGGCUAACUCCGUGCCAGCAGCCGCGGUAAUACGGAGGAUCCGAGCGUUAUCCGGAUUUAUUGGGUUUAAAGGGAGCGUAGGUGGACUGGUAAGUCAGUUGUGAAAGUUUGCGGCUCAACCGUAAAAUUGCAGUUGAUACUGUCAGUCUUGAGUACAGUAGAGGUGGGCGGAAUUCGUGGUGUAGCGGUGAAAUGCUUAGAUAUCACGAAGAACUCCGAUUGC